GACGAACGCUGGCGGCGUGCCUAAUACAUGCAAGUAGAACGCUGAAACUUGGUGCUUGCACCGAGCGGAUGAGUUGCGAACGGGUGAGUAACGCGUAGGUAACCUGCCUGGUAGCGGGGGAUAACUAUUGGAAACGAUAGCUAAUACCGCAUAAGAGUAGAUGUUGCAUGACAUUUGCUUAAAAGGUGCAAUUGCACCACUACCAGAUGGACCUGCGUUGUAUUAGCUAGUUGGUGGGGUAACGGCUCACCAAGGCGACGAUACAUAGCCGACCUGAGAGGGUGAUCGGCCACACUGGGACUGAGACACGGCCCAGACUCCUACGGGAGGCAGCAGUAGGGAAUCUUCGGCAAUGGACGGAAGUCUGACCGAGCAACGCCGCGUGAGUGAAGAAGGUUGUCGGAUCGUAAAGCUCGGUUGUAAGAGAAGAACGAGUGUGAGAGUGGAAAGUUCACACUGUGACGGUAUCUUACCAGAAAGGGACGGCUAACUACGUG
This 497-nucleotide ribosomal RNA is filed under the name uncultured bacterium. RNAcentral's name for it is "partial 16S ribosomal RNA". It matches the Rfam family "Bacterial small subunit ribosomal RNA", at positions 28 to 507 of the family's 1533-position model. The record is from RNAcentral.